CCCUUAGAUGUUCUGGGCCACACACGCGCUACACUGAAGGAGGCAGCGUGUACUCCUGGAUCGAAAGAUUUGGGUAACCCGCGAAUCUCCUUCGUGCUAGGGAUUGAGGUUUGCAAUUAUCCUUCAUGAACGAGGAAUUCCCAGUAAGUGCAAGUCAUAAGCUUGCGCUGACUACGUCCCUGCCCUUUGUACACACCGCCCGUCGCUACUACCGAUUGAAUGAUUUAGUGAGGACUUCGGACUGGGACCAAUGCGGCUUUCGGGCUGCGUCGGUAUUCUGGAAAGAUGUCCAAACUGUAUCAUUUAGAGGAAGUAAAANUCGUAACA
Molecule: ribosomal RNA, 327 nt
Filed under: uncultured eukaryote
Lineage: Eukaryota
Description: partial 18S ribosomal RNA
Rfam family: Eukaryotic small subunit ribosomal RNA
Source: RNAcentral